This 254-nucleotide ribosomal RNA is filed under the name uncultured bacterium. RNAcentral's name for it is "partial 16S ribosomal RNA". It matches the Rfam family "Bacterial small subunit ribosomal RNA", at positions 524 to 776 of the family's 1533-position model. The record is from RNAcentral.
UACGUAGGGGGCGAGCGUUACCCGGAUUUACUGGGCGUAAAGAGCGUGUAGGCGGCUGGCCAAGCGUGAUGUGAAAUCUUCGGGCUUAACCCGAAAACUGCAUUGCGAACUGGUCUGGCUAGAGUGUGUGAGAGGGUAGUGGAAUUCCCGGUGUAGCGGUGAAAUGCGUAGAUAUCGUGGGGAACACCAGAGGCGAAGGCGGCUACCUGGACAAUUGCUGACGCUCAGGCACGAAAGCGUGGGGAGCAAAAGGG